Molecule: long non-coding RNA, 224 nt
Organism: Pipistrellus kuhlii (Kuhl's pipistrelle)
Lineage: Eukaryota; Metazoa; Chordata; Mammalia; Chiroptera; Vespertilionidae
Exons: 3
Source: RefSeq, a predicted model, not a curated record
AAAAUAAGACCUACUUACAGGUUUCCUUCUGAGUGAAAUAUAAGGCAUCCCCCCAAAAAUAAGCCCCCCCCCCCCAGGCUCUGUCUCAGAAUGAAAAUUAAUUUACCUUAAACUGGUCACUAAGGCCGCUCCGAUGGGCGUCUAGCAACCAGAGACAUUACGCGGAGUCCUGACGUCACUGCUGUGGGAAUGGAGAGAAAUCAGCGUGGAAACUUUGUGAAACU